CCCCUCUCAGGGUUGCACCUGGAGAGUUUCCAGUACUCUACCAGUCUCGACUCUGAGAGGGAGAGUCAAGUAGAGGCAUACCGAUUCUAUUCCUAGCUUAGGCAAGGGCUAGCGAGUGGAAGGCAAUCUGCUAACAAG
Ornithorhynchus anatinus (platypus) is the source of this 138-nucleotide small nucleolar RNA. The record is from RefSeq and is a predicted model, not a curated record. Lineage: Eukaryota; Metazoa; Chordata; Mammalia; Monotremata; Ornithorhynchidae.